RNAcentral lists this ribosomal RNA (462 nucleotides) under uncultured bacterium. RNAcentral's name for it is "partial 16S ribosomal RNA". It matches the Rfam family "Bacterial small subunit ribosomal RNA", at positions 29 to 507 of the family's 1533-position model. The record is from RNAcentral.
AACAAACGCUGGCGGCGUGCCUAAUACAUGCAAGUCGAACGGGGAAAGUAGCAAUAUGAGUACUAGUGGCGCACGGGUGAGUAACGCGUGGAUAAUCUGCCUUGAAGAGGGGGAUAACUAGUCGAAAGAUUAGCUAAUACCGCAUAAGACCACAAGAACUGAGGUUCAAGGGGUCAAAGGUUUUUCGCUUCAAGAUGAGUCCGCGUAAGAUUAGCUAGUUGGUGAGGUAAUGGCUCACCAAGGCAACGAUCUUUAACUGGUCUGAGAGGAUGAUCAGUCACACUGGAACUGAGACACGGUCCAGACUCCUACGGGAGGCAGCAGUAGGGAAUAUUGCACAAUGGAGGAAACUCUGAUGCAGCGACGCCGCGUGAGUGACGAAGGCCUUCGGGUCGUAAAGCUCUGUCGCAGGGGAAUAACACAAUGAAUGUACCCUGUAAGAAAGGAUCGGCUAACUUCGUG